RNAcentral lists this ribosomal RNA (769 nucleotides) under uncultured bacterium. RNAcentral's name for it is "bacterial SSU rRNA". It matches the Rfam family "Bacterial small subunit ribosomal RNA", at positions 28 to 776 of the family's 1533-position model. The record is from RNAcentral.
AUUGAACGCUGGCGGCAGGCCUAACACAUGCAAGUCGAGCGGCAGCGACUUAACUGAACCUUCGGGGAACGUUAAGGGCGGCGAGCGGCGGACGGGUGAGUAAUGCCUGGGAAUAUGCCCUGAUGUGGGGGAUAACUAUUGGAAACGAUAGCUAAUACCGCAUAAUCUCUUCGGAGCAAAGAGGGGGACCUUCGGGCCUCUCGCGUCAGGAUUAGCCCAGGUGGGAUUAGCUUGUUGGUGAGGUAAUGGCUCACCAAGGCAACGAUCCCUAGCUGGUCUGAGAGGAUGAUCAGCCACACUGGAACUGAGACACGGUCCAGACUCCUACGGGAGGCAGCAGUGGGGAAUAUUGCACAAUGGGGGAAACCCUGAUGCAGCCAUGCCGCGUGUGUGAAGAAGGCCUUCGGGUUGUAAAGCACUUUCAGUAGGGAGGAAGGUAGUGUAGUUAACACCUGCACUAUUUGACGUUACCUACAGAAGAAGCACCGGCUAACUCCGUGCCAGCAGCCGCGGUAAUACGGAGGGUGCGAGCGUUAAUCGGAAUUACUGGGCGUAAAGCGCAUGCAGGCGGCCUGUUAAGUCAGAUGUGAAAGCCCGGGGCUUAACCUCGGAAUUGCAUUUGAAACUGGCAGGCUAGAGUCUUGUAGAGGGGGGUAGAAUUUCAGGUGUAGCGGUGAAAUGCGUAGAGAUCUGAAGGAAUACCAGUGGCGAAGGCGGCCCCCUGGACAAAGACUGACGCUCAGAUGUGAAAGCGUGGGGAGCAAACAGG